AAAUCCCAGCAGAGACCAACAAGUAAACUGAGACGGUGACUGAAUUGGACUUUUAGAUGGAUGGAAUUCUGCAGCGCUCUGAAAAGUAGAAGGAAACAAUCAGUUCAUCAUGAAAGGCAGAAGACAUUUCCUUUGUAACCUAAUUGUUGCAUUUGUGGUGGUAAGACUUUCUCUUCCUUAAACACUAAAUACUUUCAAAUGAAGAAGAAAAAUAAAAGGCCCUACCCUAGUCAGAGAGAUCUGGUCCUUUGUGGAAGUCACUCAGGCUAGACCGCGACCUGAACAUUUGAACAUUUGACCAGUAAAGUGCCAUGGAAUGGGCAAAUAUCUCUGUAGUUGUGGCUCUAAGGCUGGGGACUAAAUAGUUGGUCAAAUCUGGUGGGAGAAGAAAGCAAGUGACUGGACAAGACUGAUGAUGCCAAUAUGGUACAGGUUGGUGGAGAGGGGCCAGAGAAGGAGAAUGAAUACCUUCUCCCUUUCCUGUAGCAGUUCAAUAGAUGAACACUUUACUAUUGUCAAUAAAGCAGAUGACUAUACU
Monodelphis domestica (gray short-tailed opossum) is the source of this 538-nucleotide long non-coding RNA. RefSeq lists it as uncharacterized. The record is from RefSeq and is a predicted model, not a curated record. NCBI's taxonomy places the organism in Eukaryota, Metazoa, Chordata, Mammalia, Didelphimorphia, Didelphidae.